GCUAACCAAUGGCUUCAAACUCAAGAGAAAUUCUAGGGAGAAAUAUUCAAAGUGGUAAGAUGGAUUGAACUGCCAACCAAAAUUGUCAAUCUUUAUUUCAGUCUUCACUAUUAAGCUAAAAAGGUAAUUUUUCUCUUGAAUGAUGUGAAGAAUUGAAUUUCUUUCAACUGUUCCAAAAAUCUGUCAUAUUUCCCAACUUUUCAACAAUUUUCACGUGACUCUGACCUUUCUCCAAACUGUUCCGAAAAAGGAACAGUUAAGAGCCCAAUUCCUGCCUGCCACCCUGUGGGGCAGGCAAGAUGAUAUUAUACAUCUCUUACAAAACAAAGAUACAGACUCAGAAUGGCUAAUAGGAUAUUGCUGAGGCC
Molecule: long non-coding RNA, 368 nt
Organism: Gorilla gorilla gorilla (western lowland gorilla)
Lineage: Eukaryota; Metazoa; Chordata; Mammalia; Primates; Hominidae
Exons: 4
Source: RefSeq, a predicted model, not a curated record